This 20862-nucleotide long non-coding RNA is filed under the name Nicotiana benthamiana. RNAcentral's name for it is "long non-coding RNA (NBEN_LNC004893)". Lineage: Eukaryota; Viridiplantae; Streptophyta; Magnoliopsida; Solanales; Solanaceae. The record is from RNAcentral.
CUGAAUUAAUUCAAACCCUAAAAAGAUUAGCCAUCUUCCUCGUACCCCUUUUAUGGUCCAUUGUGUCUCUGCGGGCCGAAAAUCGUCUUCGCAGGAGGUGGAGCACCAAACGACCCCAAGAUUUUGGCACAAGCUCCCUUUCCCCUCCUUUUUCCAGCACCCAACUUAGUUUUUCUCGAAUCUCAUCCAAUCGGUUUGAAUCCCAAUCGAACUUUUCCGGCCAUCCUAAUAUAAUCAUUGUUCUAUUAGAAAAGGUGUCUAGGCUAAUUGAUGAUUUUAGUAAUUGUUUUCUUCCCUGUUAUCAUAAUUUUUUAAUUUCUUAUUAAAUUAUUUUUUACUGAUAUUUCUCUAGUUCAAUAUCGUUUUGAUUGUGAUUGGUUGUUUGUGUUAGUUUUUAGCAUAAUGUUAUAUCGAAUAUUGUUUGUUAACUGACAGAAUAAUAAGAGUAUGGGUAGCGAUUACAUUGUUACCAUUAAAAUUUAUAUUUUUGUUAGUUGACCAUGGUUUAAUUAGGGUUGAGGUAGGUUAGUUAUUUCAGGAAUAAAGCAGGGGUGAUUGAAGCAAUUCAAGGGUAGAGGAUCUUUUAAAACUGAACUAGAAUUCUCUAGAAUCCUCUAGAGUGGGUUUAAUUUUGAAUCUUAGGAAAACAUAGUGGGUUUACUUGUGUAACAAGUUUUAAAAUAAAGGACCAAGGUUCAAAAUAUAUAUGAACUAACAAAGAAAAACUGAAAAUCUGAUAGGCCUCACUUGUGCCUAUAAAAGGGCAUGAUCUUUAAUUCAUUCACAAGUUUUUCAACUUCACCAUUCCCCCAGAAACACUUCCCUUCAGAUCUAGUUUAGAUUUUGAUUUUCAAAUUACUAGUAGUUUAUAAUUCUCUUUAGAUCUGAAAUUUUUCCCAGAAAAAUACAAAAACAAAUAGAAAAUACAGAAAUAACCAAAAAACAGUACGAUUCCAUCGAGUAUUAGGCUAAUUUUGAGUUUUUCAGUAAAUACAACGUAUUUUCUAGUUUGAGCUUUUGAGUAAUGUUGGGUUUUUAAAAGGGCCUGGGUAAUUUUCUAGUGGAUUUUGGUAGUAUCAAGCUGGAAUUUGGCUGUUUUCACUGGUUGUUUCUUCUAUUAUUCGUUGCAGGGUAGCUGUGGUGUUUUGAGUUAUAACUUGGCUCAACUCUGUAGAUUUCAACUAUUGCUCGACUGUUUUUCCUGCUGAAUUCUCUUUCUCUUAUUUCAUUUCAAAUCCGGGUAUAUCUCAUGCUCAAAUGAUGCUGAAGAGCACCCUUACCUAUAGAAAAAAGUUUGAAGUAUGGAUGACCAAAACAUGCAUGCUUAUAUCUGAAUUUUCACGUUUAUUUGCCUAGUUUUAAAUUUUUUGUGAUGAUUCAUUCGAACUAGAGUUUCAGUUGUAUUAAUGACCAAACAUGUAUUAAUGUUAAAUAGGACUGUUUAUAUUGAUUAGGUUUGUUUGAGCUUAUUGAAUUGAGAAGAGGCUUCAUGCUAGGUUGAUAAGCUAGCUCAUAUUUGUUUAAUUAAUGUUUGUUAGUUAUUUCGUUUAUCUGUUAAUUGGCUCAUGUUAAUUACUCCAUAUUUGUUUAAAAGUAACAUUCUGAAGAUUGGCAUUCCAUGAUUAGCGUUAGGCAUUAUUUUAAUUUGAACAUCGUUUCUAGGCUCGAACGUAGGCCCAAUGCAAACAGCCGGGCAUGUUGUCCUUUUAAUUCCACCAUUUCAAGGCCCAGACAACCAUACUCAGCCAUACGGCUGAAAUACCUUACCAACACCCCGGGCCUGGACCCUUCGCCACAGGCCCAAAUUGUCUCAUCCCUUUGUAUGUGUGAUCGAGGCUGCUUUUUCCUACUAGAUUGUUAGGCCUAAGUGAUUCGUUUACAUGAACUUGGCCCUUUCAAAUAUAUUACUUAAUUAGAUUUCUCUUUCUUAUAUUAUAUUAUAAAGACAAUUUAAUAGAAAAUAUAGUUCACUUUAGGAUGUCCUUAAAUCAAAUGAGACGAGUCUUGCCAAAUAAAACGCAUAAAUUAUGGGGCCCUCAAUAAAUGGUUACAAUAAAAUACAUAGAAUUCGAGAUGAGCCGUUUAACGAAUUUCACGGUUUUUUUUCGAAAAUAAUAACGCGUUAGUCACUUUAGGCGCGAUUUUAACAUUCUUAAACUCGAAUGCGCAUUUAUGUGACCCAAAUUGAAAUCUCACCGGAGUCGAAAUGUGUCGACAACCACGGGUGCAUUGAUGUGACGUGGUUUGAAACGCAUUUUCACAACGUUGCAAUUCUCCUUAAAGUAAUCAUGAUAAAAGCGGUUAAAAAGGUCACAUAAGCUUAAACAUGUUUUGAAAUCAGAUAAAUUCAAAUACAAUAGUUGAGCGACCGUCCUGGAACCAUGGAACCCGAAAAUGAAUAACAAUUUCUCCUGGGUUAACAGAAUUUCUUACUCGGAUUUUUGGUUCGCGGACUGAUAACAGAGUCAUAUUUUUCUCGGUUCGGAAUUCAACCGGUGACUUGAGACACCAUUAAUCUCCUAAGUGACGACUCUGAACUUUAAUAAUUAAAUCCCGUUCCGAUUGUCUUUUAAGUGAAAAAACUCCUUUAUGCCCUAACGGGUAUAGUAGAAAAGGAGGUGUGACACAUGGUCUAAACUUGCAUUGACUAAUUCUAAUGGGCAGAUCACGAGAAUUGAUAAUCUGCCCUAACCGAACUCUAGCGAUGAGCCUCAUAUUGGGCAUGAGUUUAUUGUAUUGAACUCUCAAUUUCCCUAACGACACGAGGCCAUGGCGAGUUUGUUGUAGUGCCAAGGCAAGUCAUCCAGCAGCAAGGCUACUGCAAGGAGCACCUGAUGCUUCACUUUCUUUCCUUUUCUCAACUAUAUCCUCCAUAUCCGUUGCCAAAAGUUGCAUGUUUAACUAUGCAUUUAACACUAUAUAAGUAUAACGCUCAUCUUAGAUUUAAUCAACUUACAAAUUUUUGCAGGGCGAUAUACUUAUAUGAUGUAAAUAUCCUUCUGUCCCAUUCUACGUAAUCACAUUCCUUUUUGUCUGUCUAAAAAUGGACACCUUUCGAUAUAUAAAUAAUUGUGCUUCUCAUUUAACUCUCAAUGACAUCGUUGAUUAGCAAAAAAAAAAAAAAAUCUCGUGAGCAUGUUUAAAACCAAGAUUUUUAAAAAUAACGUAACGAUCCGACCGGUCGUUUCGAGCUUUUGCACUUUGAUCACCAGCUUUUGAACUUGUUGCCAUGUGUAAUGUGCUAUGACUGAUGUAGAUCAUUGGUUUUGGUUUUCAAGGAAAUUUGAACGAAUUUGGAAGAACAUUCCUCAGCUUGUUGUUUAAAUUUUAAAGGUUUGACCAAGAUUUAACUUAUUUGUAUAUGAGCUCGGAUCGGAGUUUUUAUGAUCUGGUUAGCUCUAUUGGGUUAUUUGGGACUUAGGAGUGUGAUCAGCAUGGAUUUUGGAAGCCCAAAGUAGAAUUAGGCUUGAAUUGGCGAAAUUAAUAUUUCAAUAUUUACCAGUUGAUAAGUGAAAUUUUGAUAUAGAGGUCGGAAUAAAAUUCCGAGAGUUGCAGUAGCUUUUUUGUAUCAUUUGUGAUGUGUGUGCAAAAUUUCAGGUCAUUCGGACGUGGCUUGGUUGGGUUUUUUUAUCAAAUGCGUGUUACGGAAGAAUUUAGAAACUUAUGCUUGCUUUGGGUAAUUCGAUGUUGUUUAUGGUGUUUUGAUGAUUGGAACAAGUUCGAAUAAGGUAUUGGGUCAUGUUUGUGCUUUCGAUUGAGGCCUUGGGGGCCUUCGGAUGAUUUUGGGUGGUUAACGAAAAAGUUGAGGUGUAAUUGCAGCUUCAGAUUUUGCUGCUUCUUGUAUUUCCUCACCUGCGGUUUGGGGAUCGUAGGUGCGACGUCGCAUAUGCGUGGUUUUGGCAGCAGAAGCGGGAGAGGAGGAGAUGGUCUGAGAUCGCAGAAAUGGUCAGGUUAGCUACAUUUGCGGAGUCGCAGAUGCGGAUGUUGUUAGAUGCGGGGCCUGAUCCCUUAUGUGAUUUCCGCAGAAGCGGACGUGUGACCACAAAUGUGGUACCACAGAAGCGGUGGAGGGGUCGCACAUUCGAAAACCCCUAGGCAGAAUGUAUAUAUAUCCUUUCUUUGCGAUUUUUGAAGCGUUUAGCCAUUUUAACUUCGGAUUCAGAGCUUUUGGGCGAUUUUGAAGGUAGAUUUCAAGAGAACUUCGAUAAGGUAAAGAUAUUGGACCUAAAACACACUACUAUGUUAAUAUUUCAUGGAUUAUGACUGAAAUCUAAGGAAUUAAAGGACUAAAAAUAGAGGUUUAUUGCUUUAGUUUAAGAGGGCUUAAAUUAAGGAUUUGAGAGGGUCAAUUGAACCAUGAUUCUUGUAUUUUUAAUAUGUAUGAACUCGUGGGGAGACAAGAAAUCUAAUGGUGUAAAAAAUUUUGAACUUCAAAAAGUGGGCCCGGGGCUCGGGUUUUGCUAAUUUCUGGAUUUUUGGUGUUUUUUGAUUAUUUUUGCUUGGGCUUUUCUCCCUUAGCAUAUUGUGAUGUAUUUGUUCUGAUUAUGGAUAGAUUCGACGCAUGUGGAGGCCAAUUCGAGGGGCAAAGGUUUCGUGAUCUAGAGAUUUCGCAGGUUCAAGGUGAGUAAUGAUUGUAAAUGAUGUCCUGAGGAUGUGAAACCCCAUAUUUUCACAUCGUAGUGCUAUAUUAAGGUAGAGAACACGCUUGAUGACGAGCGUGGGGUCGUGCACUAUUGGAGAUCGUGACUUGGUCUGUCCCGAUUACUUAUUUUACCUCGUAUUUGACUGAAACUUAUUUGUUAUCAUCAUUGUUUGGGUUGAUUGCCAUAUUUGGGCUUCGGGCCAACUGUUUGGACCCUUCGGGAAUUUUUAUCACUAUUUCCUCACUGUUUUUACUUAUUACUUGAACUCAGUCAUGAUGUUUUUCACUGUUUCACUACUCUGUCAUUUUACUCAGUUUUGAGACUUAAAUGAUAUUUUAAAUGAUAUUUUGGGCUGAGAAUUACUGUUUUACAAAUGCCCGAGGGGCUUGUGAUGAUUUUCGGAAUGAGUACGACUGAGGGCCAGAUGUGAGGAUACACUGAUACUGAUAUGAGGUUGAGAGCCCGAGAUACAUAUAUACGCCACGAGGUGGCUUGGCUGAUAUGAGGUCGAGGGUCUAGAUUUGAUGCCACGAGAUGGCUUGUUAUUACGCAUGCGCCAUAAGGGGACCUUCCCAGAGUCUGUACAUCCCCAAUGAGUGGGGGUACCUAUUGUGAUGUGAGAAACAACCCGAGGGGCUGAUUUUGUUCUAUGUGAAAGCCCGAGGGGCUGAUAUUGUUCUAUGUGAUAGCCCGAGGGGCUGGUAUUAUUCUAUGUGAUUGCUCAAGGGAGUGGUAUUGUUCAGAGAUAUAGCCCGAGGGUUGGAGUUAUUGACAUUGAGCGCAAGGGGAGAAUCAUUUAUGUUUAACUUUAAUAUUUAUUUGUGCUUUUACCUGUUAAACUAGGGUAUUUGUGUUCGAGGGGCGGAUUUCCAUGCUUAUCUGCACUAUUGUUUUGCACUCAUUGCAUAACUGUUGAAAACGCCUUUUUUUGAAGAAGUUUACACUAAGCUAAAUUGUUUUAAGAGAUUUUAAAGCUUCACCACUUUCUAACUUAUUUUUGAACUGCUUCUAUAUCUUGAUUAGCUUUACGUGAUUUCUUGCCUUCAGUAUUUAUUUACAUUUGUUACUCACUGAGUUGGAGUACACACUUUUCUCCUGCGCCUUGUCUACAGACAGGUAUUGAUGCAACUGGUAGCGGGUUUUGGCUGAUCGGAGGCAGAGUUAUCAAAGUUUAGCAAGGUGGUUGCCGGCGUUCGCAACACCACUUUUCUCCCUCUUCGUUUAUUAGUCAUCUUUAUAUAUUUCAGACCUUUUAACAGUAUUUAUACUCUAAUAGAUGCUCGUGACUUGUGACACCCCGGUUUGAGCUGUGUCGGGUUGUACAUUCACUAAUAAUUAACAUUAAAUCAUGUAUAGACUGCUUUUGAGAUGUUUAGCUAUUUUAAAAAGGUGAAUUGGUUUUAGUUGGCUGGCCUUGUCUUCACAAGAGGCACCAUUACGACCGGGUCGGGGUUUUGGUCGUGACAAGUUGGUAUCAGAGCGUAGGUUACAUAGGUCUCACGGCUCCUAAGCAGGUUUAGUAGAGUCUUGCGGAUCAAUACGGAGACGUCUGUAUUUAUUAUUGAGAAGCUACGAAACCUUUAGGAAAACUUCCCACUCUUGAAUUCUUAUCGUGUGUCCCUGAUUCAGCUUGAAAAGUAACUCUUAAGUUCCUUCCACCUGUUUGUAUGCACGCAUUAGCGCUCAGUAUCAGAUGCGCCUUGAUGGCUUGUGAUUCCCUGAUCGAGGGGCAAGAUGUAUUCUGUGUGAGUUUGAUGUUGGGCCAGUGUGGAGGACUUGAGGCCGGAUCUUUGUCUAUGUCUUGAGCAUCAAGGUGUUGAUUGAGUGUGCAAGUGUUUUUGAACUUAUAUGUUCUGUAGUGUCCCUAUAAGUGGAGUGACAGUCAGAUAACUAUGUGAUGAGUCCGUUAGGACUGUGAGGGUUAUCCAUAUGAUUUGGAGGCGACGAGAAGGGGCUGCUAGAAGAUAGAAGAACUAUUAGGUGCUGGAAUUCCAUCUUGAUUCGAGGUAUAGCCCCGAGUUAUGGGCGUAUGAAGGAUCUUUUCAUGUUCCCAGUUGAGAGUGAAGUAAAUUUCAUGUUGCGGUAUGAGUUAAGACUUAGGAAGACUAAGUGACUGCAUACAGUUUAUGACAGUGGAAGGUAUACAGAAAUGUUAAUUGAAGGCAAAGCAGGUGGUUUAUCUCUUGCGAAGAGUUCUGAGGUUGUGUGAUCCUUAUGUGACUGUUAGAAGAUCUCAUGUGCAAGUGAAAUGUAGUGUGAGAUAUAACGAAUAUAUAAAGUACUAGAUGACUUUGUUUUCACAGGUUUACAAGGGAUUUGAAUUUAAUCUCAUUAUGGAUUUGUGGCGUCAAUAGAGCAUAUGCGUUAUGAGUUAUUGAGUAUGACUUGAUCUAUGGUUUCGAGCCAAGUUGGGAGUCUACUAUUAGUUAGGCGAUUGCAUGGCUAGGUGCUACGUUAGUCCUUAUUUGAGACGUGUGGGUGAAUCAGUUAUGACUUGCAAAAAUUGAGACCUAGGAUGGCUCGAGUAAAGGAAAAUUUUGACAAAGGUUAUAUUAUGCUUCCUAGGGUAUGAGAAUCACGGAAGGUAUGGAGUUGUUGUCAGUAAAGGAUGAUCGAUGAAUAGAGUAGGAAAGGCUUGGUUGUAUUGGGAUGAGGUUGCAUUCUGCAGUGUUUGAGUGUUAAUGAGGCACAUGUUGUUCGGUUCUUUUGAUCGGGCUAAUCGUGGUUUGAGGAGAGUGGAUGACUUGCGAGAAUGGUUCUAAUGUAUUCAAGAUUCUGCAUAUAUCAAUUGAGUAUUCUAAAGUUCCAUAUGUGAUUAGAAACUGAGUUUAAUUGGAAGAUGUCAACACUUAUGGUAUUUCUUAUAAAUUGGGAGAUUCUAUGUAUCAGUAUCAUGAAGGUAAAGGUAAUGGAUUUAGAUUCGUAGGGAGUCUUCAGAGAAAAUAUUUUUGAAUGUGGUGCUUUUGGGAAUAUCUAAGGGAUUAUUCAUCGGCUUAUGGGUUUUAGAUAGUGUGGUUUUAUGCUUGGAUCUCGUGUGGUGAGCCUGGGCUGAGGAAUUAGGGUGCUACAACAAGAGGGAAUAUCAAGUUGAAGAUGAAUCAGCAGGAAACUCGGAUAAAUGAUAUCUUGGUAAUGGGUAUGUGACCUUACCUCGAAAUGGUAAGGAUAUGAUUAGCUCUUUGGAUGCUUACGGGGUAAUGAGUAUCUGCAGGUGUUUCGCGGCAUUUCUUUUGGGGUUUUAGUGACAUGUGUCACUCAGUUGAGUUAGAAGGAUCCACGCCUGAUGAGUUAGUGUUGUGCAAAUGGAAUAGGGAAGUUCUUGGCUAGUGGAAUUCAUAGUUGCUUGCGGUUCGGAAAGGAUAUGAAGUUCUCAUGGUUAUCCUAGGAUGGUAUCGGUUAUGCGGUAUGUUGUAAAUGAUUGAGAAUUGUGUAUGUAAGGCUGUGGUUCGGUCCUGAAAGGAAGGUCAUAAAAUUCUUAAAAAACAUGAGCAGUUUUAGAUGAUUAGAGGAAUGAUCUUUAGAUGAUUAAGGAUAUGGUAUUGCUAAUUGGAGUGAUUUGAUGAGGGUAUAUGCUUCACAAAAGGCAAUGUGGUUAAGUUGAUGGUACUUCGGUACUAUUGUAGCACUUUCUUAUUAGGUCGACUGCUGAUAAUCGGGUCUGCUCGGUGGCAAAGAGGGAAAUCUAGAGUAUCUUUCGUGGAAUAAUUGGGUAUUUGAGGUGUGGUAUGCAUUUGGACCGUGGAACUGGGAUCAUGUAUUAUGAUUCGUGUGCUAUAUGGAGUUAUAGACUGGGAGUUCUCGUGUUCAAGCUAUGUUGUGGUGGUAGAUCGCAUGUAUCGGUACUGUUUAGUGACUAUCGGGGGAUUGGAGACCCAAAAAGAUUUUUUGUGCUGAGUAUGUUAGAUUUUAGAUGUGAUAUUGGGUUCAGACUGGUUGUCUUUACAUUAGGUUAUUCUGUACUAUUGCGCUACGGGCUGUGUCAGAAAUACCAUGGAUUGAGUGGGCGAGGUGCGACGGAUUAUGUCAUAGUAGGGUUGUUUUAUAUUUCGAAGAUCCAGCGGACGGCUGGGAAGGAUUGCUUUUCUUAUUUGGGCCUUCGUGAUGGAUAGCAGUGUAGAGGCUCUACCAUUGAUUCAGUUCUCAUGGUGAGGGACUUUUCGAAUAUGUUCUUAUGGCCGACCAGGUUGUUGGUUUCAGUAUUGAUUUAGUGUCAGGCACCGCAUCGUAUGGCACCGGCAAACUUAUAGAGGUGGAAGGAGCAGCUUCAGGUUUCCUUGAUAAGGAGUUCAUUGGCAGGACAAUGUGGAUGAGUGUUCUAUCUUGAGUCGGCUUGGUUUGCUCUGAAUUGCAUUAUUGAGGCAGGUGUUGACUCGACCAUUGUUGAGCUUAACAAUGAUCUGGGAGACCUUGAAUUACCUUUCCGUAUUACAAGGUGGUACGAUUUGUUGGUUAUAGGCACAUAUCGUGCGGUUCAUUUGGGGUCUCUUAGUGGAAGUCAAGCAGGAAAAGUAAUUGGGCAUUGCUCAGUGAAUGGCGUAUCAGGUUAUGUCCUAUCGAGUUGCUUGGCACAUAUUAUUGUUUCACUAUAGGUGUAAUGAUUUGGUUUGGUUCUAGACAUCAAAUUGUGCGUGGUUGUCGCUUUCGCGCAUAGUGACUUGAGGUGUUUCAUAUGGAGCAGUGUUUGAUAGGAUCGCGCAAUGCAACAAAGCUAUAUGGAGAUAUGACCUUACGGGUUAGAUUUGUGUGUUCUGUUUCUAUGAUGUGAGACGGGUUCUCAGCCUUCUAUUGUGGCGGUACUGUUAAGCUUGAGGUACAUCUCUUUCAUUUGAGUCAUUUUCAUGAUUUGAGUAUGUUUGGACUAUUGCUUAUUGGUGCGCGUAUUGUUCCAGUUAAGGCUUAGGCCUGUAUUGAUGUGUCAUCUCACCAGAGUAGUGUCUUGGAUCGGGAGAGAUCAUUGGGAUCAUCAAUACAUACAAACAGAUUCAAUUUCAGUAUAUUGGAAGGAUAGUAUCGAGGUUCGAUUCGGAAAUUGCUAUGGUAUUUGCCAUAGGAGAAUUGGCUUGAUGAAUGGUUGACCUGGGAAAUGGUUGUGGUUUAUUGCAUGUUCAUUUACUGCUGGCGAUAUAUGAAGGUGUUGGAUUCAGACUUGAGUUGAUAAGAGAUUUUCUACCAGUAUUAAGAUGUUGUAGGCAGCCAAUAUGAAUAGAAGUUAUUGUUAUUAGUGUUUGUGUUAUGUGGUAUAUCAUGUAUUGCACCUGAGGCUGCAGGCAUGAGUUAUUACAGCUCGUUCGAGCCUAUUCAGAGUAUAGGUGUGAGGUUUUGAUCGUAUUGAUGGUUUCAAAAGUGAAAAUGUGGUUCUAUGAUUAAUGGGCCAGAUUGGAUGGUGUAUUUUCAGUUACAAUGUAUUAUCGUUCCUAUAUGAGAUAGGGUGACGUGGGAUCACCCCCGGGUAUAUGCAUGGUAAGGUUAUUUAGCGAUUGUUGUCUUUUAGAACAAUUCUAGGUACGUUUGAGGACGAACAUAUGUUUAAGAGGUGUCGGGUUCUUUUAAGCUUUUGCACUUUGAUUGCUAGCUUUGGGGCAUGACUUUCCCCGUGUAAUGUGUUAUGACAAAUGUAGAUAAUUGGUUUUGGUUUCUGGAGAAAUCAAAACGAAUUUGGAAGAACAGUUCUCUGCUAAUAGUUUGAAAUUUGAAAUGUGUGACCAAGAUUUGACUUGUUUGUAUAUGAGCUCGGAUCAGAGUUUUUAUGAUCUUUUAGCUCCAUUAGAUGAUUUGGUACUUAGGAGUGUGAUCGGAAUGGGUCUUGGAGGUCUGGAGUAGAAUUAGACUUGAAUUGGCGAAAUUGAGAUUUUGGCAUUUUCCUAUUGAUAUGUGAGAUUUUGAUAUAAAGGUCGGAAAUAAAUUCCGAGAGUUGCAUCAGAUUCAUUGUAUUAUUUGUGAUGUGUGUGCAAAUUUUUAGGUCAUUCGGACGUGGUUUGGUUGGGGUUUUUUUUAUCAAAAGCGUGUUUCGGAAGAUUUCAGAAACUUAGGCUUGAAUUCUAUGAGUUUCGUAUAAUUUGAUGUUGUUUGAGGUGUUUUGAUGAUUGGAACAAGUUUGAAUAAGGUAUUAGGUCAUGUUUGGGAUUUUGGUUGAGGCCUCGUGGGACUCGGGAUUAUUUCGGGUGGUUAGCGGAAGAGUUGAGGUGUAAUUGCAGCUUCAGAUUUUGCUGCUUCUUGUAUUUUCGCACCAGCGGUUUGGGGACCACAGGUACGGUGUCGCGUAUGCGUGGUUUUGGCCGCAGAAGUGGGAGAGGAGAAGGUAGUCAAAGAUCACAGAAGCAGUCAGGUUAGCUGCAUCUGGGGAGUCGCAAAUGCAGAGGUUGUUUCGGAGAUACGGCGUCUGGUCCCUUAAGUGAAUUUUGCGGAAGCGGACGUGUGACCGCAAAUGCAGUACCGCAUCGGUGGAGGGGUCGCAGAUGCGAAAACCCUUGGGCAGAAUGAAUAUAUGUUUCUUCUUCGCGAUUUUUGAAAGUUUUAACCAUUUUAACUUCAGACUUAGAGUUUUUGGGCGAUUUUGAAGAGAGAUUUCAAGGGAACUUCGACAAGGUAAGGAUUUUGGAAUUAAAACACACAUCUAUGGUGAUAUUUCAUGGAUUGGGACUGAAAUUUAAGGAAUUAAUGGACAAAAAAUGGUGGUUUAGGGUUUGAGUUUAAGAGAGCUUAAAUUGAGGCUUUGAGAGGUCAAUUGAACUCCGAUUCUUGUGUUUUUGAUAUGUAUGAAUUCGUGGGGAGAUGAGAAAUCCAAAGAUGUAAAAAAUUUUGAGUUUUAAGUGUGCCCGAGUUUUGCUAAUUUCAGGAUUUUUGAUAUUUUUUGAUUAUUUUCGCUUGGGUUUUGUUCCAUUAGCAUAUUGUGACGUAUUCGUUCUGGUUUUGAUUAGAUUCGACGUGCGAGGAGGCCGAUUCGAGGAGCAAAGGCAUCGCGACCUAGAGUUUUAGCUGGUGAGGUGAGUAAUGCUUGUAAAUGAGGUCUUGAGGGUUUGAAACCCGGAUUGCACAUACACACGCUUGAUGAUGAGCGUGGGAUCAUUUACUAUUGGGAAAGGUAAGGACUUUGGACCUAAAACACACUUUUAUGGUAAUAUUUUAUGGAUUGGACUAAAAAAUCUAAGGAAUUAAAGGACUAAAUAUGGAGGUUUAGGGCUUGAGUUUAACAGGGCUUAAUUGAGGAUUUGAGGGAACAAUUGAACUCCGGUUCUUGUGUUUUUAAUAUGUCUGAACUCGUGGGGAGACGAGGAAUCUAAUGAUGUACAAAAUUUUGAGUUUUGAGAAGUGGGCCCGGGACUCGGAUUUUGCUAAUUUCAGAAUUUUUGGAAUAUUUCGAUUGUUUUUACUUGGGAUUUACUCCCUUAGUAUCUUGUGAUGUAUUCGUUCUGAUUUGGAUAGAUUCGAUGCGUGUGGAGGCUGAUUCGAGAGGAAAAGGUGUCGCAAGCUAGAGAUUUUUCUCGUUCGAGGUGAGUAAUAAUUUUAAAUAAUACCCUGAGGGUUUUAAAUCCCGGAUUUGCACAUCGUAGUUCUAUAUUAGGUGAAGCACACGCUUGAUGACGAGUGCGGGGUCGUCCACUAAUGGGGAUUGUGACUUGGUCCGUCCCAAUUAUUGAUUUUACCACGUAUUUAGCUGAAACUUAUUGUACUAUUAUGAUUUGGGCUGAUUUCCAUAUUUGCACUUCAUGCCAACUGUUGGAACCCUUCGGGGAUUUUUAUAACUAUUUCCUCACUGUUUUGACUUAUUACAUGAACUCUGUCAUACUAUUUUCCACUAUUUUACUACUCAUCCAUUUUGCUCAGCUUUGAGACUUAAAUAAUAUUUUAAAUGAUAUUUUGAGCUGAGAACUACUGUUUUACUAAUGUCCGAGGGGCUUGUGAUGAUUUUCGGACUGAGUACGGACGAGGGUCAGAUGUAAGGAUACACUGAUACUGAUAUGAGGCCGAUGGCCUGAGAUACAUAUAUACGUCACGAGGUGGCUUCACUGAUAUGAGGCCGAGGGCCUAUGUUUGAUUCCACGAGAUGGCUUGUUACUUUGAUUGGGCCGUUAGGGGCCCUUCCUGGAGUCUGUACACCUCUCGUGAGCGUGGGUACCCUUGUGAGAUAUAGCCCAAGGGGCUGAUAUUGUUUCAUGUGAUAGCCCGCAUGGAUGGUAAUAUUUUAUGUGAUUGCCUGAGAGGCUGGUAUUGUUCUGAGAUAUUGCUCGAGGGGCAUAGUUAUUGAUAUUGAACCCGAGGGGUGAUUCUUUUUAUGUUUAUCUUUCAUAUUUAUUCGUCAUUUUACCUAUUAAACUAUAGUAUUUCUGCCCGAGUGGUGAAUUUCUGUGCUUAUCUGCACUAAUUGUUAUGCACUUAUUGUGUAACUGUCGAAAAAGCCGCUUUCGAAGAAGUUAAAACUGAGCUAAAAUAUUUUAAGAGAUUUUACAGUUUCAUUGCUUUCUUACUAAUUUUUAAACCGCUUCUAUAUAACAUAUUGAUUGGAUUUACAUGAUUUCUUGCCUUCAGUCUUUAUUUACAUUUGUCACUCACUGAGUUGGAGUACUCACAUUACUUCCUGCACCUUGUGUGCAUGCAGAUUUAGGUAUUUAUGUACCUGGUACUGGGUUUUGGCUAAUCGGAAGCAGAGUUAUCGGAGUUUAACAAGGUGGCUGCUGGCGUUCGCAGCACCGCUUUUCUCCCUCUUCGUUCAAUAGUCCUGUUUUGUAUAUUUCAGACCUGUUAACUAUAUUUGUACUCUAAUAGAUGGUCGUGAUUUAUGACACCCCAGAUUGGGUUGUGUCGGGUUGUACUUCCGCUAAUAAUUAUCAUUAAAUCCUGUAUAGAUUGCUUAUGAAAUGUUUUGCUGUUUUAAAAAGAUGAAUUGGGUUUAGUUGGCUGGCCUUGUCUUCACAAGAGGCGCCAUCACGACCGGAUCGGGGUUUGGAUCGUGACAAAUAACUUCUAGUAUCUUAAAUUUAUUACCCAAUCAAACACCUUCAAUUCACAUAAAAUAGGAUGGAACGAAUAUAUUUUUCUUUAGCAUUUAGUAAUUACUUAGUAUAUUAUUACGUAAAAUAUAUACUUUAUUAAUAUUCUAGUUAAAUUAGUUUUUCUAAUUCAUAAUUCUUAAAAUUAGUUUUCCAUUAAUAUUUUUAACGUACAUUUAUAAAUAAAUAAAAAUAGCAUUUUUAAUAAAAGUAUUUGAAAGGAAUUUUUGUGGAGCUCACGCACCAUGCAGGCAUGCUGCUCUAUACAUCCACAUUUUAAAACACUGAUAUUUAUUACGCCAAAUGACCUAGUAAGUAGGGUAGUUAUGUUCUGCCUAAAUGUGAGAGCGAUUAUAUAUAUGAUACAAAACAAUAUCCGAGUAUCUAAUUAGCGGAGACUUGCUUAAUUAAUCGAUGGGUUUUAUUAAUAUUCAUAUGGUAUAAAACGUAUGAGUUCAAAUAAAGUAUAAAACAGGAAACUAUACAGCCUUAUAAGAAUGUCGUUUUAUGAUGUUCGAGAAUGAGUAAAUAGAUUGUUCGUCAAAAAAUAUUAUUGUUUGGCCAAACAUUGUGUGUAUGUGAGAGAGAAGCAACUAACUAUUAAUAUGAGAUAAUUAAUAAAUUGUAGGAAAAUUUAGGUAAGAAUUACAAUAUAUAUCUACUCUUGGAUCAUAGUUUAGUUUAUUGGAGAUGGUUCAGUUGCAUGAGGUUGAGUAUAGAGCAAGGUCAAUAAUUUUAUAUAAUUUGUUAGCCCACCAACAUUCAUUCAUUAGAGGGGUCACACACAAAUAUUGUUAGGUCCUGUGUUUAUUAUCCAAGCAAUUGGAGUCAGAGGAAGAAGAGAGGGAUGGUCCUUAUCUAAUUUGUUGUUUAUUUAUUUUAUGUUUUUAUUUUAUUUACUUUUUCCUUUAGUUUGUCUUAUUCAUACUGCAAGUCUUUGUUUUGUUGCUAUAUAUGUCUGAUCCUUUAUUUAAAAGACCAAUUGGAUUUUAUAAAGGACAAAGAUGUUACAUCUGGUUAAAGAGUCCCUUUCUAGGGUCUUUUUAAUGUAUUAAGAGAUUCCCUCGAAUGUCUGAUAAAUAAAAAUCUUUUGCUUUAUUUUAAAAGAAGAAACAGAACAAAAUCAUUCUCUCGAAGAUCUUAUGAAAGGCAUGGAGUAUUUCCUUUUCGUUGUACCAAUCAUUAUAUAGUUUGAACACACUUGUUUAAUUUUAAAAAAGAAGAAAAAUAAAAAAGAAAGCCUUGAAAAACUAGUUGUAUUCUUAAGGUAAAUUCUCAAAUAAUUUAACUACUAUAAAGUUUGUUUAAUAAUCUACCAAAAAUUGAAAAAUUUAUUGGAAAAUUGGGAAAUAUUUAGUUAGAGUGUUCUUUUGUCUCAAUUAAUUCAUUAUUGAAUCCAAUUUCAUGGAGGAACAAUGGGUGAAAACCAUUUACAUCCCCGUUGUUUGCUUUAAAAAUUAGAUGCAUCCUCAACUUUGAACAAUUAUUAUUCUACUCCUCAUAUCAAAUGUGACUUCUUAAAAUAUCUAUUUUACCCUUUAUAAUUUUAUCUUUUAUUUUUAUUCAUUAAUAUAAUGAUAUUUAUUUAAUCAUGAUUUAUGUUAUCGACUGACCUAUAGUUAAGGGUAAAAAAGAUAUUGCGUAGGAUGAAAAGAUGAUGACAAUUUAUUUAAAGUUGGAUAAUAAGUUUGAUUUUUUGAGUAAAUUUGAAAAAUGUAAAUGAUUUUCACCAUGUAACAAUCUUCAACAAUAAUAUAUAUGAUAACAUAAAUGAAACAUAUAAUGGUGGAUCCAUACAGACCUCCUACAUGUAUUUGGCAUGAAGUCCAUAUCAAUAUAAUUAAAGUUUGAACGAGAUAGCAAAAGAAUGGAGUUCCACAUGGAAGCAUUAAGUUGAUAUAAAGGAGAAAAGAGAUGUAUAAAUAUUUGUUAGUGAUAAUAAUCCCACUACAAACAUGUAUAUUUUAAAGCUAAGAAGAAAAAAAAUAGGUGGUGGGACUCGUAGGUUUCCAAACAACACUACCACAUCAUAUGGAUUAUAAGAUACCACAACAUAGUGAUGUCAAUUGGUUGACUAGGAUGUUGAUUGUAACAAUCUAACUACAUUUUCAUUUAUGUUGUGCAAAACAAUGGGCUCAUAGUCCAUUACUUUUGGUGCUUUUUUAGAGUUUCAAUAGAUAUGGAGUCUUUCCCUAAAGUUUAAGUUACGUAAAGUCAAAAACAAAAUUAUCUAAUCAAUGCGAUCUAGUAAGUUAUAUUCCUUUCGAUCUACGACAAGUGACGAAUUUACAUUGCGCAUAUUCAUUAGGAAAUUACAAAAUAAAAAUAAAAAUAAUUAAUGUAAUUAAUUACCCAUAAUUAAAUGUUGCAUCAUAGUUAUAGUAGCACUUACUUCUCUUCUCAAAUCUGUGGAAUAAGUGACUUUUUAGGAAUACAUACAUAAUGGUAAUUUUGAAAAACAAAUUGAAUUUUUUCUUGAUUAUAUAAAUGAACACUUAUUUUGGACCAAAAUAUAAAAAAAUAGGGGGGCAGCCUUAUAAGAAUGUCGUUUUAUGNNNNNNNNNNNNNNNNNNNNNNNNNNNNNNNNNNNNNNNNNNNNNNNNNNNNNNNNNNNNNNNNNNNNNNNNNNNNNNNNNNNNNNNNNNNNNNNNNNNNNNNNNNNNNNNNNNNNNNNNNNNNNNNNNNNNNNNNNNNNNNNNNNNNNNNNNNNNNNNNNNNNNNNNNNNNNNNNNNNNNNNNNNNNNGGGGGGAGGGGGGGGGUGCUUUUGCAUCUAUUCCCCGCUUUGGGGUCACAAUUGAACCUAAAGUUUGCAAGAGUACCCACUUUACGAUCAACUUCAGACUUAUCAGGUCUGAAGUUAAAAAAAUAUCUAAAGUGAAAAAAUUACACUUUGGAUGAACUAAAGCCCAAAUAGGUCUGAAGUGUCAACAAUGGUUUCAUGCACUUAAUGUCACAAUCUGAAGUGAAAAAUUGCAGUUUAGAUGCACUUAAAGCCAAAAGGUCUGAAGUGAAACAAAUGUUUUGCUACACUUAAGACUAAUAAGUCUGAAGUACAAUUGCACUUCAGAUGCACUUAAGGCCAAAAAGUCGGAAGUGCAAUAAACGUUUUGCUACACUUAAGGCCAAUGAAUCUAAAGUGAAAAGUUGCACUUCAGAUGCACCUAAGGCCAAAAAUUCUAAGUACAACAAACGUUUUCAUUCACUUAAGGCUAAUAAGUCUGAAGUGAAAAUUGCCCAGAAAUAGAAAUUUGUUCUUCAAAUUAUAACAAUCCAAUAUACAAUUCAAUACCUAAAUCUACACUGAAUGAGCUCAAAUUUGAAAUAUAACCUCCAAAUAUCACCAGGAACAAACCCAAUCUUCAAUUUGUCAAAACAACAAUAAAUCUAAUGAACCCAUUUUGCAAUUAAGAAAAAUAAGAAGAAGAAACCCUAAGCAAUAGUAAAAUAAAAUAAAGUAUCAUAACAGCUCAUCAUCAGAAAAUAUCAUAAAAUAUAUUCACAGCCACCAUAUAAAAUCAUUGUCACCCGAAGAAGGAGAAGGAGAAGAAGAAAAAGCAAUAGGAGAAGGAGGAGGAGAAAGAGACUAUCCGCCCCCAAACUAGCUAAGAGAACGAAAGCCUUCACCAGUGAAUAGUUUCCAACACUAUUCAUCGACCAUUUCUCCGGAAUCCGGCGGUGGAUAAUAGCAAUUUUGGUAUCAAAAUAACCCCAUCCUUAUUGUGAUCAUUCUCCAACUAUUUUCAUUUCCAAAUCUAUACUCAAUUCUCCAAGAUCCUAAUUUGAACAAAGAUCACUGUAGCUCGACGAAUUUUCAGUUUUCUUCAUUCUAUCGGCUGAUUAGAGAGAUGGAUGAAUAUUUUUCUCUAUUGAUCAAAUUGUGUCAUUGUAUUUUGAUUUUGGCAGCCAUGUUUGCGAGAAAAGAUUUUCUCGUUGCAAUUUAAUAUUCAAGGUCGAUGUAAUGUAGGGUAGUUGGAAUAUCGUCAUCUGUUAAUAAGAUUUGAUUUGUACGAUGACUAUGUUCGCUUCCUUUCGAAGACGACUGGAUAUCUUAAGUCCAAAGGAGAAGAAUACUUCUUCAGAUCAUUUCCAUGGACUUUCGAUUUCAAUCCGAGGGAAGAGACAUUAAUGGCAGUCGUGUGGAUAUCUCUGCCAGGCCUACCUCCAAAAUUCUUUGCAAAGAGAUCGUUAUUAUCUAUAGCUUCAGCAGUGGGAAAACCGCUUGUUGUUGAUAAAGCGACGCAAGACAGAUCGAGAUCGAGCGCGGCAAGAGUUAAGGUGAUAGUGGACCUUAUGAAUAAACAUCCAGAUAAAGUCAUUCUGCACAUUUUAGAUGCUGCUUCAGGUAAAUCCAUCGAGUUCAAUCAACAAAUUGUUUUCGACAAUUUGCCGAUGUAUUGUGUUUUCUGUAAUAGGUAAGUCCAUCGAGUUCAAUCCACAAAUUGUUUUCGAUAAUUUACCGAAGUACUGUGUUUUCUAUAAACAUCAAGGACACGAUGAAAAGCAUGCAGGAUCAGAAAAGUAAAGGAUGGAACAGCUGAGGUGAUAGAUGAAAAUCUUGUUAAAAAUCUGUCUCGUAAUGAUAGGAAUGAAGUUGUCAAAUUAUUAGGAGAUGCAAGGGACUAUAUAAAUGUUAAACGAGCUGAAAAACGAGCUACUGAUCUACAAGAAAUAGAUGAUAUUGUAGGAGCAGAAUCAUCAAAACUGGUACAGAAUAAUGCAUUUUCUGCUAGCUACUGAUCUACAAGAAAUAGAUGAUAUUGUAGGAGCAGAAUCAUCAAAACUGGCACAAAAUAAUGCAAUUUCUGCUGAAAUAGUGAAUACAAAAAGAAAAUGAAGCACUAACUGAGAAUUUUGGUCAUGUUGAUUCAAGUGUACAUCAUGGCAUUGGAAAAGUUGGCACGAAUCAGAAGGAUGAGCUAAAGUCUCCUGAAAUUGCAGGGAUGAAUAUGAAGGAUGCUGAUCAAUAGUUCAAUUUGAAGAAUGAUGUAGUAAAUGAAAUGGUUGAUGCCUCGCAUAUAGAAUCCCCACUUGUGNNNNNNNNNNUGGCUGAUGCCUCGCAUAUAGAAUCCCCAGCAGAAUCCUUAAAGGAGAUGCAGAAGUUGGAAAAUUCUAAGGCUACAACUCAGGAUCGAGCAUAUGAUGCCUAUACUGAAAAAAACAAUCAACUAAUGAUUAUAUCACAAAUGGUGCACAGACUGAGCAGUCGGUCGAAAAGGAUGGACAACACUUUAAAUGCAAUGAGCAGCAGCAAUGUUUGUCAGCUGUUACAUCUUCAAAAUCAUUGCCAAUAAUAGAGAGUGUUUCUGGCUAUGUUUGUACACAGCAGAACACUGUUCCAUCCACAAUGCAAUGUAUGAGUAAUAAUGAGUUGGUAGUAUCCAAAUUAUAUAAUGCGGGAACAAUGGAAACCUAUGUAAUCCACAGCAGACAGUGUGCACAGGAUGGGCAGAGGAUUGGUCAUGAAAGUCAUCAGUACAGUAACAAUGUGCAUCUAGGAUCUGGCAAUGCAGUAAACUUGAAGACUUCAGAGCUGAUUGAACCGCAGCAGGAUAAGUAGAUGAUUAACAAAGAAGUCACUAACCUGCCUGCUCAAGCAAAAGGAAUUAUGGAAGCACUAAACACAGAUCACACAAAUGUGUAUUUGCAACCAAAAGAGAAGUUGUCAGCUUCUAAUACAACUGUUGAUUCAAACAAAACUGGACAACAACAUUCCGAUCGAGUUGAAAUCUGCCAAGAACCAUAUUUUUCCAACAGUUAAGAUAAGGGACAUGGUCAUUAAAUCAAAACUGUGGGAAGACCAAUGAGAAUACGACAAUGAAGAGAGUUGGAGAGAAGGACUGUUCGACGAAGACAGCACAGGAGAAGACUGUGAACCACAUGAGAAGUCAACACAGGCAGUUGCUGCAGUUCCUAGCUGUCCUGAGGAUCGACGUGUAACUGGAUGUAAUUACAAGGAUAAUGUGAAUGAAAGGGUUCAAACUCAACUUAGUGUGACUACUACUAAAGAUAUAGCUGAUGGCGAUGUCUCUAAGUAGAAAGAUGCAAUUCAAAGUCCAUAUCUUGAUAACUCUUUAAAUGGAAAAUCAAAGUCCAAGUGGGAAGCUCCAGAUUUCAUCCCAAGUAGGCAGUUGCUGCAAUUCCUAGCUGUCCUGAGGAUCGACGUGUAACUGGAUGUAAUUACAAGGAUAAUGUGAAUGAAAGGGUCCAAACUCAACUUAGUGUGACUACUACUAAAGAUAUAGCUGCUGGCGAUGUCUCUAAGUGGAAANNNNNNNNNNNNNNNNNNNNNNNNNNNNNNNNNNNNNNNNNNNNNNNNNNNNNNNNNNNNNNNNNNNNNNNNNNNNNNNNNNNNNNNNNNNNNNNNNNNNNNNNNNNNNNNNNNNNNNNNNNNNNNNNNNNNNNNNNNNNNNNNNNNNNNNNNNNNNNNNNNNNNNNNNNNNNNNNNNNNNNNNNNNNNNNNNNNNNNNNNNNNNNNNNNNNNNNNNNNNNNNNNNNNNNNNNNNNNNNNNNNNNNNNNNNNNNNNNNNNNNNNNNNNNNNNNNNNNNNNNNNNNNNNNNNNNNNNNNNNNNNNNNNNNNNNNNNNNNNNNNNNNNNNNNNNNUCCAGAUUUCAUUCCAAGUAAGCCUCCUUGUUGCACAUGCAUUCACUUCCUAGAUACACCACCAAAUACUGUGGAUGGCCACAUUGGAACGAGUAAGUCAGGUGCUAUCUUGAUGAAAAAUGCAACAUGGUCCAACAAGAAACCAAAUGUUAGGCAAAUUCCAAUGAGAGUAGCUACUACAAUUUCGUCAUCAAAGUCCAAUUGUUCAAAAAAUAAAAGAUGAUUCUUCAAUACUUAUUAAACAAGGUAGAGGAGAAUGAAAUAGAAAUACAUCUUCAAGAUUAUACAAGAUUGGGAAAUAAGGGACAACAAUCAACUAUGUACUACAUAUUAUUCUACCACUUUGUUAGUAUCCUGAUUUGUAAUCUCAUCACAGAGUAUGUUAUAAACUCUGUGAUGAUCAUAAAUUAUUUAGUCGCGUCAAGUUCUUAUUUUAUGCAUUCUUGUUUAUAAGUAAGGUUGCCAAGCCUCAAUAGGAUUAGCACGGUAAGGUUAGUCCGGUUUGUGUUUAACAAUACCGGUGCUAAUAUCCCCCUUAUUUGUACUUUUCCUAAGUGUUUGUAAUUUUCUUUUCAAUUAUUAAUAAAAAUCUAGCACUAGGCGCUUGCCUAGUGGAUUAGAAAAAAAAAA